GUGGGGAAUAUUGGACAAUGGGCGAAAGCCUGAUCCAGCCAUGCCGCGUGUGUGAAGAAGGUCUUCGGAUUGUAAAGCACUUUAAGUUGGGAGGAAGGGCAGUAAGUUAAUACCUUGCUGUUUUGACGUUACCGACAGAAUAAGCACCGGCUAACUUCGUGCCAGCAGCCGCGGUAAUACGAAGGGUGCAAGCGUUAAUCGGAAUUACUGGGCGUAAAGCGCGCGUAGGUGGUUUUGUAAGUUGGAGGUGAAAUCCCCGGGCUCAACCUGGGACAUGCCUCCAAAACUGCAUGACUAGAGUACGGUAGAGGGUAGUGGAAUUUCCUGUGUAGCGGUGAAAUGCGUAGAUAUAGGAAGGAACACCAGUGGCGAAGGCGACUACCUGGACUGAUACUGACACUGAGGUGCGAAAGCGUGGGGAGCAAACAGGAUUAGAAACCCCUGUAGUCC
Molecule: ribosomal RNA, 450 nt
Filed under: uncultured bacterium
Lineage: Bacteria
Description: partial 16S ribosomal RNA
Rfam family: Bacterial small subunit ribosomal RNA
Source: RNAcentral